Molecule: ribosomal RNA, 428 nt
Filed under: uncultured bacterium
Lineage: Bacteria
Description: partial 16S ribosomal RNA
Rfam family: Bacterial small subunit ribosomal RNA
Source: RNAcentral
GUCGAGAAUCUUCCGCAGUGCGCGAAAGCGUGACGGAGCGACACCGCGUGAUGGAUGAAGUCCUUCGGGGCGUAAACAUCUUUUAUAAAGGAGGAAAUUUUUGACGUUACUUUAUGAAUAAGGGGCUCCCAAUCUCGUGCCAGCAGGAGCGGUAAUACGAGAGCCUCAAGCGUUAUCCGGAAUCAUUGGGCGUAAAGGGUGCGUAGGUGGUUUGAUUAGUCUCCCGUUAAAACUUCGAGCUUAACUCGAAAAGAGCGGGGGAAACGGUCAAACUAGAGUAUGUGAGAGGUGUGUGGAACUCAUGGUGUAGGGGUGAAAUCCGUUGAUAUCAUGGGGAACACCAAAAGCGAAGGCAGCACACUGGCACAUCACUGACACUGAGGCACGAAACCUAAGGUAGCGAAUGGGAUUAGAAACCCGGGUAGUCC